GUCAUCCAACUCGUAAACGCUGGCAUCUUUCUAGAACUUCCGACUUCCCGACCUGAAGUUCACUGACUUCUUGGUUUGACCUCGUUUAUUCAGAGUUCCCAGUUGUCUUAAAAUCACCAUGACCAUCAGAUGCAGUAGGGGGAGAUGUUACCCCAACUCAGAGAAAUCUCAGUCCAGCUGGCCCCUCUUGCUGCUCUGUUGUACCCUGGGAGCUCCUUGAACCUCCUCCUCCUCGCUGUCGUCUGACUCUGUGCUGGUGAUGUCAUCCUCUUCAUCUUCCUCCUCCUCCUCACUGGCCUCUUCCUCAGCUCCUUGGGGCUCCUGGAAGCUCUGCAUGGGGCACAGAGAGGCAACAGGAUUGACUGUGAUAUUGAGCGCUGAGUUGUUCCAGUCCAGCUCUCCCUCCUUGGUUGUGUCUGAGCUCCUGCCCUCCUGUUGGUGUGUCAGGUGAAUACGGUAGAUGCCUAGCACAACCACCACCACCAGGGCGGCAAUACAGAUCACUAUCACCACUGUGGCAGCACUGGGGACUCCUUGGGGAAAGUUCAAGGGGCUUUAUUGGCAUGGGGAAACGUGUUAACAUUGCCAAAGCAAGUGAGGACCUGAGCCCCAGGACCAUGCCUCAGUACUACCUGACAUGAUGACUCCUUGCUGUCCCCAGUCCACCUGGCCAUGCUGCUGCUCCAGUUUCAACUGUUCUGCCUUGUUAUUAUUCGACUAUGCUGGUCAUUUAUGAACAUUUGAACAUCUUGGCCACGUUCUGUUAUAAUCUCCACCCGGCACAGCCAGAAGAGGACUGGCCACCCCACAUAUGCUCUCUCUAAUUCUCUCUUUCUUUCUCUCUCUCGGAGGACCUGAGCCCAAGGACCGUGCCCCAGGACGACCUGACAUGAUGACUCCUUGCUGUCCCCAGUCCACCUGACUGUGCUGCUGCUCCAGUUUCAACUGUUCUGCCUUGUUAUUAUUCGACCAUGCUGGUCAUUUAUGAACAUUUGAACAUCUUGGCCAUGUUCUGUUAUAAUCUCCACCCGGCACAGCCAGAAGAGGACUGGCCACCCCACAUAGCCUGGUUCCUCUCUAGGUUUCUUCCUAGGCUUUGGCCUUUCUAGGGAGUUUUUCCUAGCCAACGUGCUUCUACACCUGCAUUGCUUGCUGUUUGGGGUUUUAGGCUGGGUUUCUGUACAGCACUUUGAGAUAUCAGCUGAUGUAAGAAGGGCUAUAUAAAUAAAAUUAGAUUUGGUCUGGA
Molecule: long non-coding RNA, 1246 nt
Organism: Oncorhynchus keta (chum salmon)
Lineage: Eukaryota; Metazoa; Chordata; Actinopteri; Salmoniformes; Salmonidae
Exons: 6
Source: RefSeq, a predicted model, not a curated record